UACGAAGGAGGCUAGCGUUGCUCGGAAUCACUGGGCGUAAAGGGUGCGUAGGCGGGUCUUUAAGUCAGGGGUGAAAUCCUGGAGCUCAACUCCAGAACUGCCUUUGAUACUGAGGAUCUUGAGUUCGGGAGAGGUGAGUGGAACUGCGAGUGUAGAGGUGAAAUUCGUAGAUAUUCGCAAGAACACCAGUGGCUAAGGCGGCUCACUGGCCCGAUACUGACGCUGAGGCACGAAAGCGUGGGGAGCAAACAGG
This 253-nucleotide ribosomal RNA is filed under the name uncultured bacterium. RNAcentral's name for it is "partial 16S ribosomal RNA". It matches the Rfam family "Bacterial small subunit ribosomal RNA", at positions 524 to 776 of the family's 1533-position model. The record is from RNAcentral.